Molecule: ribosomal RNA, 423 nt
Filed under: uncultured bacterium
Lineage: Bacteria
Description: bacterial SSU rRNA
Rfam family: Bacterial small subunit ribosomal RNA
Source: RNAcentral
GGAAUCUUGCGCAAUGGGCGAAAGCCUGACGCAGCAACGCCGCGUGAGCGAUGAAGGUCUUCGGAUCGUAAAGCUCUUUCGGCUGGGAAGAAAUGCCCGGAGGCGAAUACCCUCCGGGUUUGACGGUACCAGCAGAAGAAGCACCGGCUAACUCUGUGCCAGCAGCCGCGGUAAUACAGAGGGUGCAAGCGUUGUUCGGAAUUAUUGGGCGUAAAGCGAGUGUAGGCGGGAUGGCAAGUCGGGUGUGAAAGCCCUCGGCUCAACCGAGGAAGUGCGUUCGAAACUGCCGUUCUUGAGUGUCGGAGAGGGUGGCGGAAUUCCCGGUGUAGAGGUGAAAUUCGUAGAUAUCGGGAGGAACACCAGUGGCGAAGGCGGCCACCUGGACGAACACUGACGCUGAGACUCGAAAGCGUGGGGAGCAAA